Molecule: ribosomal RNA, 394 nt
Filed under: uncultured Anaeromyxobacter sp.
Lineage: Bacteria; Pseudomonadati; Myxococcota; Myxococcia; Myxococcales; Anaeromyxobacteraceae
Description: bacterial SSU rRNA
Rfam family: Bacterial small subunit ribosomal RNA
Source: RNAcentral
CGAGAAAGCCCGCAAGGGUGAGUACAGCGGCGCACGGGUGCGUAACACGUGGGUAAUCUGCCCUGGAGCCCGGAAUAACCUCCCGAAAGGGAAGCUAAUGCCGGAUGAGCCCACGGGGUCCUUGGACCCUGAGGGAAAAGGUGGCCUCUGCAUGCAAGCUAUCACUUCAGGAUGAACCCGCGGCCCAUCAGCUCGUUGGCGGGGUAACGGCCCACCAAGGCUACGACGGGUAGCUGGUCUGAGAGGACGAUCAGCCACACUGGAACUGAGACACGGUCCAGACUCCUACGGGAGGCAGCAGUGGGGAAUCUUGCGCAAUGGGCGAAAGCCUGACGCAGCAACGCCGCGUGUGUGAUGAAGGUCUUCGGAUCGUAAAGCACUGUCGCGAGGGACG